GCCAGCUGUGGCUGAGUGGAUAAGGCGAUGGACUUAAAUUCCAUUGGUGUCUCUCCGCGUAGGUUUGAAUCAUACCGGCUACG
Non-coding RNA from Trichonephila clavipes, 83 nucleotides. The record is from the annotation of a GenBank genome assembly. NCBI's taxonomy places the organism in Eukaryota, Metazoa, Arthropoda, Arachnida, Araneae, Nephilidae.